AUACUAUUCCCUCCAUCCGAAAAUACUUGUCGCGAAAAUGAAUACAAAUGGAUGCAUCUAAAAUUAAAAUACAUCUAGAUACAUUCAUUCCUCGGACAAGUAUUUCCGGACGAAGGAAGUACAUA
This is a non-coding RNA of Triticum aestivum (bread wheat), 125 nucleotides long. The record is from Rfam. Lineage: Eukaryota; Viridiplantae; Streptophyta; Magnoliopsida; Poales; Poaceae.